RNAcentral lists this unclassified non-coding RNA (160 nucleotides) under uncultured Capnodiales. RNAcentral describes it as "sequence contains ITS2". Lineage: Eukaryota; Fungi; Ascomycota; Dothideomycetes; Capnodiales. The record is from RNAcentral.
AAUCCCAUCAAGCCUGGCUUGGUAUUGGGCGUCGGGGUCCCCCGCGCCUCGAUUUCACCGGCUGGCUGUUGCCCGUCUUAGCGUUGUGACACACUUUUCGCUGAGAGUGGCAGUAGACCAUGCCGUUAUAAAUUCACGAAUUUCAAUCGAAAUUCGAUUA